GGGGAUGUUACGGAUUCGACAGGCAUAGUUGAGCCUGAAUUGCGCUUCGUAGGUUACGUCUACGUUAAAACGUUACAGUUAAAUAUAACUGCUAAAAACGAAAACUCUUACGCUUUAGCUGCCUAAAAACA
This 131-nucleotide transfer-messenger RNA is filed under the name Enterococcus gallinarum. RNAcentral describes it as "partial transfer-messenger RNA". It matches the Rfam family "transfer-messenger RNA", at positions 1 to 134 of the family's 374-position model. Rfam says of the family: Bacterial tmRNA, also known as 10Sa RNA or SsrA, is named for its dual tRNA and mRNA-like properties. Its role is to liberate the mRNA from a stalled ribosome. RNAcentral also lists the same sequence under 1 other name. Lineage: Bacteria; Bacillati; Bacillota; Bacilli; Lactobacillales; Enterococcaceae. The record is from RNAcentral.